This is an RNA transcript of Nomascus leucogenys (northern white-cheeked gibbon), 3070 nucleotides long. It is a transcript of the gene named cerebellin 2 precursor, with no coding region annotated. The record is from RefSeq and is a predicted model, not a curated record. Lineage: Eukaryota; Metazoa; Chordata; Mammalia; Primates; Hylobatidae. The transcript is spliced from 5 exons.
CCGCUCCACCAGUCCGAGGUCCAGAGGAGCAGACACACAGACCCGGGCCGGAGGCCCCUCUUCUAGCCCUGCGGGAACCGGACAGUUCCCCAACUGGGGACUCUGGAACCACAGCUCCUAAAUCAUCAAAUUCUCAAGCUUUUUUUCCUCUCUUCGUCCCAGCCAUCCCAGUCUUCUUCUUCUUUUUAACUUAUUGUUUUUUUCGCCCCUUUCAUUAUGAAAGUGGUCACGCCAUUCAAGAUUAAGACUUGGAGGGAAUUGGGGAAAGAAAAGAAAGAAUCUAAAAGAAGAGAAGCGACCGGUGCUUUUAAGGGUGUCUAAUUUUCAAAAAGAGACUUCUGGGAGUAUUUUGCUCUGGGCGUUUGGAGCAACUUCGCGGACAGCGGAGCUCGCCCAGCAUGGAUGUUCCAGGUAACCACUCCCGACCUGCCCUCCCCUCCGCAUGCAAGCGCCUUCUGCGUGGAUUUUAACCAAGACUCUCCCUGGUCCAGAUCGAGAGGUGGGGGAGGUGGAGAGAGAGAAGGGAAAUCGUGUAGGAUCGGGGCUGCAGACAGCGGAUAUUUAUCAAGAGCCAACUUCUCCGUUCUUAGAAAGAAUAUUGGAAGAGUUAAUGGGAGGCUGUGGGCGGCGAGGGGGCGGCUUCUCUGCGUGUCUCUGGGCUGGUAUUGAAAUGGCCUGUCUGCUUUCCUGGGAGGAGCGGGGACCGGGCAAAAGUGCAGACGGGCGCGUUCACGGGCGCCUUUCUUCUGAGAACGACCCUGGCCUUGAACGUCAGAGCGGGGAACGAAGGCCCGCGGAGGCUGCUGCGGGCCCCGCGCGUUCCUUCGCGCCCUUCCGCGCCGCUCGCAUCCCCGCCGGCCUCCGCCCCCGCGCGCCACCUCCUACCAGCCCCGAUGCAGGCGCCCGGCCGGGGGCCACUGGGGCUGCGGCUGAUGAUGCCCGGGCGCCGGGGGGCGCUGCGCGAGCCGGGCGGCUGCGGAUCCUGCCUGGGGGUGGCGCUGGCCCUGCUGCUGCUGCUACUGCCCGCCUGCUGCCCCGUGCGGGCGCAGAACGACACGGAGCCCAUCGUGCUGGAGGGCAAGUGCCUGGUGGUGUGCGACUCCAGCCCGUCGGCGGACGGCGCCGUCACCUCCUCCCUGGGCAUCUCCGUGCGCUCCGGCAGCGCCAAGGUGGCCUUCUCCGCCACGCGGAGCACCAACCACGAGCCGUCCGAGAUGAGCAACCGCACCAUGACCAUCUAUUUCGACCAGGUAUUAGUAAAUAUUGGCAACCACUUUGAUCUUGCUUCCAGUAUAUUUGUAGCACCGAGAAAAGGGAUUUAUAGCUUCAGCUUCCACGUGGUCAAAGUGUAUAACAGACAAACCAUCCAGGUCAGUUUAAUGCAGAAUGGCUACCCAGUGAUCUCGGCCUUUGCAGGAGACCAGGAUGUCACCAGAGAAGCUGCUAGCAAUGGCGUGCUGCUGCUCAUGGAAAGGGAAGACAAAGUGCAUCUCAAACUUGAGAGAGGCAACCUCAUGGGGGGCUGGAAAUACUCCACAUUCUCGGGUUUCUUGGUGUUUCCUCUAUAAACACAGAGCCCCCUAGAUGGUGGGGGAAUGGAAUCUGGACCCGGGAAUCCGCCCUUUAAAACACCCUUAACUUGCUGGAAUUGGACACCUUGUUUCCAACCUCCAUCAGACUGUUGCAGUAGAAGAAUGAUUUCCUUUGAAACCUCCAGUACUUUUGUUUUUGUUUUUUGGAAUACUGACAAUUCCUCGGGAACCUGGCCUCUAAUUAGUUUUAGAUGACAAGGUCUUAAGGAGAAAUGAAAUUAUCGAUUUGAGCAAUUUGUACCUGUGAUUGUAAAGUCAAUAUCGGAUUUUAUUGUUGGGACCAUGGACCUCUUUUGUUUGUAUGUUGUGUUGUUGUCCCAAUGGAAGGAGAGCUCCUGACUCCAGAAUGGGCUGCAGGUUGCAGUCAGGGCUUGAAGCAGGAGCCCAGCAAAGAACCACCUGCUGGACAGUCCUUGACAUGUGUUCUGUGUGUGUCUGUAUAGCCUUAAGAAAAAGAAUGGCUUCACUUUCAUUCUGUAUUCUUCCCCCCACCAUGUGGAUGGGAGGACUUGGGAGGGGGAUGGGGACAUUGUGAACCUGUCAAGAAGUGCUUUAUCCAGAGAAGCAAAUUUUGCACGAUUGAACUGCAACUUUUGUUUUGUAUUGUUUGUGUUUUUUCUUGAAAAGCUUUACUUUUCUUUCCACACUCAGCUCUCCCUCCUCAACCCCACUUUUAUUUUUCUUGCUGGGGUUGGGGAGAGAAAAUAUAUGUUGAAUUCCUGGAUAAGACCAAACAAAACAAAACAUUAAAAUACAUGUAUGUUUUGUUUUAGACGAGACCAAACUAAACAAAAAGUAUCUGUUUAUCAAAAUAAAAAUAACACAAUGGACAAUUCUGCUUAUUCUCUCAAAGAGAUUCUAAGAUGCACCUUUAGAACUAUUAAUAGCAACUUGCAUUUUUUUUUUAAAUUUAUACUUCAGAAUCCUUUAAGAAUCUGGUGUUCCUGAGUGGUCCUGAAUCGUAUAAGUUGGGAAUGGAAGCUGUAAUGACCAAGUCCCCUAAACAUACUGUUUCUUUGCCACGUGUGCUGUGACUUCUCAGCGGGUGAUUUAAUUUAUUUGGAUCCACCUCUGAGUGAGCGCACAGUGAUCAGGUGCUUCAAAGCCAACAGACCAGCUCCUCUUCCUCCGGAUCCUCUUUUGAUCUGCCCAGGAAAGGGAUGCAUUGACACUCUCCUGCAUGCACCUGGCGAGAAGCCACCUGGAAGUCACUGUGGUUAAAGAUAUUGGUGGAGGCACCCCAGGAGCACUGUUACAAAUCCUUCUUGUUUUGGCAUCUCGUACAACAACAUUAUUAAGACACAGCUGAGAGUUGAUGGGUGUGUAAUUCAUAUGCCAAGGAAAUGUCACUAAUCCCAAAGCAAUCAAAGAGGAGACCUCAAACCAGAUGUUAAUUUGUUCGUUGUGUAACAAUGUAACCAAAAUAUUGAUGAUGAAAGUCAUAAUUUAAGAUUCAGAAUAAAUGGGUUUGAUGUCUG